RNAcentral lists this unclassified non-coding RNA (260 nucleotides) under fungal sp. Its description in RNAcentral is "partial internal transcribed spacer region". The stretch from base 1 to 46 matches the Rfam family "Eukaryotic small subunit ribosomal RNA", at positions 1786 to 1831 of the family's 1831-position model. The record is from RNAcentral. Lineage: Eukaryota; Fungi.
AAGUCGUAACAAGGUCUCCGUUGGUGAACCAGCGGAGGGAUCAUUACCGAGUUAUUACUCCAAACCCAUUGUGAAUCUUACCUUCUGUUCUGUUGUCUCGGCGGCGGUCCGCAGGCCUCCUACCCCUGUGAAUGGGGGAAAAAUAGGGGACCGGCUCCCCGCCGGCAGCACCAAACUCUUGGAUUUAUAGCGGAUUACAAAUCUCUGAUUAUAAGCAAGAAAAUGAAUCAAAACUUUCAACAACGGAUCUCUUGGUUCUG